This 461-nucleotide ribosomal RNA is filed under the name uncultured bacterium. Its description in RNAcentral is "partial 16S ribosomal RNA". It matches the Rfam family "Bacterial small subunit ribosomal RNA", at positions 338 to 795 of the family's 1533-position model. The record is from RNAcentral.
CCUACGGGAGACAGCAGUGAGGAAUAUUGGUCAAUGGACGCAAGUCUGAACCAGCCAAGUAGCGUGCAGGAUGACGGCCCUCCGGGUUGUAAACUGCUUUUAGUUGGGAAUAAACGGGGGCUCGUGAACCCCGUAUUGUAUGUACCAUCAGAAAAAGGACCGGCUACUUCCGUGACAGCAGCCGCGGUAAUACGGAAGGUCCGGGCGUUAGCCGGAUUUAUGGGGUUUAAAGGGUGCGUAGGCGGAAUGCCAAGUCAGCGGUAAACUCGCGGGGCUCAACCUCGCUCCGCCGUUGAAACUGGCGUUCUUGAGUGGGCGAGAAGUAUGCGGAAUUCGUGGUGUAGCGGUGAAAUGCGUAGAUAUCACGCAGAACUCCGGUUGCGAAGGCAGCAUACCGGAGCCCAACUGACGCUGAAGCACGAAAGAGUGGGUAUCGAACAGGAUUAGAUACCCGUGUAGUC